Molecule: ribosomal RNA, 449 nt
Filed under: uncultured bacterium
Lineage: Bacteria
Description: partial 16S ribosomal RNA
Rfam family: Bacterial small subunit ribosomal RNA
Source: RNAcentral
GUCGAGAAUCUUUCACAAUGGGGGCAACCCUGAUGGAGCGACGCCGCGUGGAGGAUAAGGUCUUCGGAUUGUAAACUCCUGUCAUGCGUGAACAAGGUUGCUUGGUUAAUACCUGGGCAAAUUGAUGGUAACGCAAGAGGAAGAGACGGCUAACUCUGUGCCAGCAGCCGCGGUAAUACAGAGGUCUCAAGCGUUGUUCGGAAUCACUGGGCGUAAAGGGUGCGUAGGUGGCGUGGUAAGUCAGAUGUGAAAGCCCGGGGCUCAACCUCGGAACUGCGUCCGAUACUGCCAUGCUAGAGUACUGGAGAGGUGACUAGAAUUCUCGGUGUAGCAGUGAAAUGCGUAGAUAUCGAGAGGAAUAUCAAAGGCGUAGGCAGGUCACUGGACAGUUACUGACACUGAGGCACGAAGGCCAGGGGAGCGAACGGGAUUAGAAACCCCUGUAGUCC